GUGAACACAGGGCCAUAGACUUUUGACAACUGCAAAGGAUUUGCUGAUGUCCUUAAAAUUUAACUGCAGUAUAUUUCCAAUAAUUGGGAGAGGAGUGGGGCCAGGAGGG
Molecule: long non-coding RNA, 109 nt
Organism: Perognathus longimembris pacificus (Pacific pocket mouse)
Lineage: Eukaryota; Metazoa; Chordata; Mammalia; Rodentia; Heteromyidae
Exons: 4
Source: RefSeq, a predicted model, not a curated record